AAUGAACGCUGGCGGCAGGCCUAACACAUGCAAGUCGAACGGAUCCUUCGGGAUUAGUGGCGGACGGGUGAGUAACGCGUGGGAACAUACCCAAAGGUACGGAAUAGCCUCGGGAAACUGGGAGUAAUACCGUAUGUGCUCGAAAGAGGAAAGAUUUAUCGCCUUUGGAUUGGCCCGCGUUGGAUUAGGUAGUUGGUGGGGUAAUGGCCUACCAAGCCGACGAUCCAUAGCUGGUUUGAGAGGAUGAUCAGCCACACUGGGACUGAGACACGGCCCAGACUCCUACGGGAGGCAGCAGUGGGGAACCUUAGACAAUGGGGGAAACCCUGAUCUAGCCAUGCCGCGUGAUCGAUGAAGGCCUUAGGGUUGUAAAGAUCUUUCAGGUGGGAAGAUAAUGACUGCACCACCAGAAGAAGCCCCGGCUAACUCCGUGCCAGCAGCCGCCGUAA
Molecule: ribosomal RNA, 449 nt
Filed under: uncultured bacterium
Lineage: Bacteria
Description: partial 16S ribosomal RNA
Rfam family: Bacterial small subunit ribosomal RNA
Source: RNAcentral